RNAcentral lists this ribosomal RNA (301 nucleotides) under uncultured bacterium. Its description in RNAcentral is "partial 16S ribosomal RNA". It matches the Rfam family "Bacterial small subunit ribosomal RNA", at positions 509 to 809 of the family's 1533-position model. The record is from RNAcentral.
CAGCCGCCGCGGUAAUACGUAGGUGGCAAGCGUUGCCCGGAAUUAUUGGGCGUAAAGGGCUCGCAGGCGGUUUCUUAAGUCUGAUGUGAAAGCCCCCGGCUCAACCGGGGAGGGUCAUUGGAAACUGGGAAACUUGAGUGCAGAAGAGGAGAGUGGAAUUCCACGUGUAGCGGUGAAAUGCGUAGAGAUGUGGAGGAACACCAGUGGCGAAGGCGACUCUCUGGUCUGUAACUGACGCUGAGGAGCGAAAGCGUGGGGAGCGAACAGGAUUAGAUACCCGUGUAGUCCCUGUCUCUUAUAA